UACGUAGGGGGCUAGCGUUGUCCGGAUUUAUUGGGCGUAAAGAGCGUGUAGGCGGCCAGGUAGGUCUGCUGUGAAAACUCGAGGCUCAACCUCGAGACGUCGGCGGAAACCAUCUGGCUAGAGUCCGGAAGAGGAGAGUGGAAUUCCCGGUGUAGCGGUGAAAUGCGCAGAUAUCGGGAGGAACACCAAUGGCGAAGGCAGCUCUCUGGGACGGUACUGACGCUGAGACGCGAAAGCGUGGGGAGCGAACAGG
RNAcentral lists this ribosomal RNA (253 nucleotides) under uncultured bacterium. Its description in RNAcentral is "partial 16S ribosomal RNA". It matches the Rfam family "Bacterial small subunit ribosomal RNA", at positions 524 to 776 of the family's 1533-position model. The record is from RNAcentral.